GCUGCCCUUCCUACGGGAGGCAGCAGUAGGGAAUUUUGGACAAUGGGGGCAACCCUGAUCCAGCCAUGCCGCGUGAGUGAAGAAGGCCUUCGGGUUGUAAAGCUCUUUCGGCCGGGAAGAAAUCGCAUCUCCUAAUACGGGGUGUGGAUGACGGUACUGGAAGAAGAAGCACCGGCUAACUACGUGCCAGCAGCCGCGGUAAUAAGG
Molecule: ribosomal RNA, 207 nt
Filed under: uncultured beta proteobacterium
Lineage: Bacteria; Pseudomonadati; Pseudomonadota; Betaproteobacteria
Description: partial 16S ribosomal RNA
Rfam family: Bacterial small subunit ribosomal RNA
Source: RNAcentral